CGAGCUCAAACAUGUUACACACAUCAAGAACACCAAGCAGUGAAGGAGGGAAGAUAGACGGAGGGAGAGAUGGGUUUGGAAAGAUCUACACAGACUAUUGUAAUGGUGUCUUCAGUAUCUCUGUAUGUUUUACUGACACAAGCUAUGUCUUCCUGCUCUCUAAAGGGUUUCCUGUCUGUCACAGGAGGAGUCUGAGAUCAAGAGAACCCCAGAUCCACAGGAAGAGAUAGAAGGUGGAGGAGAGGAAAGAUGGACGUACCAGCAGGUACCAGAUUAAAGGCUGCCUUCAGUGUGUUCUUACCAAGUGUUUCUACUGUAGAUGGACGUACCAGCAGGGUACCAGCAGGUACCAGAUUAAAUGCUGCCUUCAGUGUGUUCUUACCGGCGCUGCCCCAUUGACCCAGAUGAUUGCGCUCUUCUUGUUGGAGGGAACCUUCCGGUAGAUGUACCAACACUCCUCUAUGAAGACCAGCAU
Oncorhynchus keta (chum salmon) is the source of this 475-nucleotide long non-coding RNA. RefSeq lists it as uncharacterized. Lineage: Eukaryota; Metazoa; Chordata; Actinopteri; Salmoniformes; Salmonidae. The record is from RefSeq and is a predicted model, not a curated record. The transcript is spliced from 3 exons.